This 253-nucleotide ribosomal RNA is filed under the name uncultured bacterium. RNAcentral's name for it is "partial 16S ribosomal RNA". It matches the Rfam family "Bacterial small subunit ribosomal RNA", at positions 524 to 776 of the family's 1533-position model. The record is from RNAcentral.
UACAGAGGGUGCGAGCGUUGUCCGGAAUCACUGGGCGUAAAGGGCGCGUAGGUGGCGCCGCAAGUCCAUGGUGAAAGCUCGAUGCUCAACAUCGAGUCGGCCACGGAGACUGCGGGGCUCGAGCACUGUAGGGGCAGAUGGAAUUCCGGGUGUAGCGGUGAAAUGCGCAGAUAUCAGGAAGAACACCCGUGGCGAAGGCGGUUCUCUGGGACGGUACUGACGCUGAGACGCGAAAGCGUGGGGAGCGAACAGG